GUUUUCACCUUCGCUAAGAAAUCCAGUCUCCCUACGAUUUGGUUAUGCAGACGAAGCAGCUUGGGAGGUUGCGGUGGUGCAGUUCGCCGCAGGUGGAGUGGCGACGCCGGCCGAUGCAGCGUUGAUGAUGCAGUUGGGCUGUGAUGGAGUGUUUGUGGGCUCUGGGGUUUUCAAGAGCGGUGACCCGGCAAAGCGUGCCCGGGCCAUUGUUCAGGCCGUCACUCAUUACAGUGACCCGGACGUGCUUGCUGAUGUUAGCUGUGGGCUUGGUGAGGCUAUGGUUGGCCUUAAUUUGACCGAUAAGAAGGCGAGAGGUUCGCAGCUCGGUCCGAUUAGUAAUUGAAGGAAUCCUUUGGUUGUCGCCCCCACCAUCACCUUCAUCAAGUGAUCAUCUUCCAAAUUAUCAAGGUUUUAAGUGGUAGUCUUUAAUACAGUGGAUGCAACUUUAUGUCUUAAAUGUUCCCUGUAUAAAAUUUGAUAUUUUAAGAUUCCCAGGAAUAAAACAGCUUGUCUCUGAAUUCUGCUACUAUAAUGUAUUUUUUUACAUUGAUUAGGCUCAGGCUCCUGCACAAUCUUUUACCUUAAGUUUCACUUGGUAUUGCUCUAUGAAUUAAGGCUCUGCUCUUUGCCUAUUUUUCUCUUUGGUUGCA
Molecule: long non-coding RNA, 650 nt
Organism: Hibiscus syriacus
Lineage: Eukaryota; Viridiplantae; Streptophyta; Magnoliopsida; Malvales; Malvaceae
Exons: 2
Source: RefSeq, a predicted model, not a curated record